Molecule: ribosomal RNA, 524 nt
Filed under: uncultured bacterium
Lineage: Bacteria
Description: bacterial SSU rRNA
Rfam family: Bacterial small subunit ribosomal RNA
Source: RNAcentral
AGAGUUUGAUCCUGGCUCAGAUUGAACGCUGGCGGCAUGCUUUACACAUGCAAGUCGAACGGCAGCACGGGGGCAACCCUGGUGGCGAGUGGCGAACGGGUGAGUAAUAUAUCGGAACGUACCCGGAAAUGGGGGAUAACGCAGCGAAAGUUGCGCUAAUACCGCAUAUGCCCUGAGGGGGAAAGCGGGGGAUCCGUAAGGACCUCGCGUUUUCGGAGCGGCCGAUAUCGGAUUAGCUAGUAGGUGGGGUAAAGGCCUACCUAGGCGACGAUCCGUAGCUGGUCUGAGAGGACGACCAGCCACACUGGAACUGAGACACGGUCCAGACUCCUACGGGAGGCAGCAGUGGGGAAUUUUGGACAAUGGGCGAAAGCCUGAUCCAGCCAUGCCGCGUGAGUGAAGAAGGCCUUCGGGUUGUAAAGCUCUUUCAGCCGGAAAGAAAGCGCAUGGGUGAAUAACCUGUGUGGAUGACGGUACCGGAAGAAGAAGCACCGGCUAACUACGUGCCAGCAGCCGCGGUAAUA